ACUAUUCUAAGGUGGACAGACGGACAAAGAUAUUUUCCUUGUUGUCUCAAGACAGGGUUGUUUCUGGAUGUGAACCUGGCUGUUCUGGAACUCAUUCUGUGGACGAGUCUGACCUUAGACUCAGAUAUCUUUCUGCCUCUCCAUCCAGAGCACCAGGAUUAAAGGUGUGCACCACCACUUCUGACUGGGUCUUGAAGCACAGCUCGAAUGGUCAGACUGCAGGUGUUGCCUCCUGAGGAUUUCCAUCUGAAGACAAGAAUUCCAGUCAGAACCUUCUGCUCCACUGCGACCUCCUCCCAGUCAGCCACCUCUGCUGAGUGCUGUGCACCCUGCAGCCACAGGCUGAGCUACCAGGCUUAGAGCCUCAGCAAAUGCAUUUUGGAGAGACUCGGUUCAACAUUUAAGAGGAAGUGGACGUCCCCUUUUUGAAUUGGUGGAGGUUAAAGAAAGACAGGCACCUAUCUACGGUGUGACGUGGGCUUCCUUUCCGGGAGACGCCUCUAAUCCUAGACCAUAGCUGGAGCUAGAGCGUGUGUCUGGGCACACUCCUCCACAGGUAUGAAUGAGUCUCUGAGUGUGCCCUGUUUAACAGAGCUAACUUAACCAUAGCUUCCCUUAAAUCGCGUCAAGAUACUUCCGCCCGUUUAUGAUCACUCGGUAACAAGUACCGUCUGGAGGGGCGGAAACUGGAGUUCCUGGGUUCUUGUGGCCCCACACAAUGAACAGAGACAUGAGGGUGGUUACAGGAGAG
This 751-nucleotide long non-coding RNA is filed under the name Rattus norvegicus (Norway rat). Its description in RNAcentral is "long non-coding RNA NONRATT032209". Lineage: Eukaryota; Metazoa; Chordata; Mammalia; Rodentia; Muridae. The record is from RNAcentral.